This 99-nucleotide ribosomal RNA is filed under the name Serratia marcescens. RNAcentral describes it as "partial 23S ribosomal RNA". It matches the Rfam family "Bacterial large subunit ribosomal RNA", at positions 1 to 90 of the family's 2925-position model. The record is from RNAcentral. Lineage: Bacteria; Pseudomonadati; Pseudomonadota; Gammaproteobacteria; Enterobacterales; Yersiniaceae.
GGGUUGUGAGGUUAAGUGACUAAGCGUACACGGUGGAUGCCUAGGCAGUCAGAGGCGAUGAAGGGCGUGCUAAUCUGCGAAAAGCGUCGGUAAGGUGAU